UAACUGGCUUUUUUCAAAGCCAUAAAGUUGAUCACAUAAUAGGGAA
Kiloniella sp. is the source of this 46-nucleotide non-coding RNA. The record is from Rfam. Lineage: Bacteria; Pseudomonadati; Pseudomonadota; Alphaproteobacteria; Rhodospirillales; Kiloniellaceae.